This 400-nucleotide ribosomal RNA is filed under the name uncultured bacterium. Its description in RNAcentral is "bacterial SSU rRNA". It matches the Rfam family "Bacterial small subunit ribosomal RNA", at positions 355 to 772 of the family's 1533-position model. The record is from RNAcentral.
UCGGGAAUAUUGGACAAUGGGGGCAACCCUGAUCCAGCAAUACCGCGUGUGUGAAGAAGGCCUGCGGGUUGUAAAGCACUUUUAGUAGGGAAGAUAAUGACGUUACCUACAGAAAAAGCACCGGCUAACUCCGUGCCAGCAGCCGCGGUAAUACGGAGGGUGCAAGCGUUAAUCGGAAUUACUGGGCGUAAAGCGUGCGUAGGCGGCUCUUUAAGUCAGAUGUGAAAUCCCCGGGCUCAACCUGGGAACUGCAUCUGAUACUGGGGAGCUAGAAUUUGGGAGAGGGAAGUGGAAUUUCCGGUGUAGCGGUGAAAUGCAUAGAGAUCGGAAGGAACAUCAGUGGCGAAGGCGACUUCCUGGACCAAAAUUGACGCUGAGGCACGAAAGCGUGGGUAGCAAA